RNAcentral lists this ribosomal RNA (348 nucleotides) under uncultured bacterium. RNAcentral's name for it is "bacterial SSU rRNA". It matches the Rfam family "Bacterial small subunit ribosomal RNA", at positions 508 to 853 of the family's 1533-position model. The record is from RNAcentral.
UCAGCAGCCGCGGUAAUACGUAGGGGGCGAGCGUUGUCCGGAAUUAUUGGGCGUAAAGAGCGUGUAGGCGGUUCGGUAAGUAUGUUGUGAAAUCAUGGGGCUCAACCCUGGGGGUGCAACGGAUACUGCCGGGCUAGAGGGUGGUAGAGGCAAGUGGAAUUCCGAGUGUAGCGGUGAAAUGCGCAGAUAUUUGGAGGAACACCAGUAGCGAAGGCGGCUUGCUGGGCCACACCUGACGCUGAGACGCGAAAGCUAGGGGAGCGAACAGGAUUAGAUACCCUGGUAGUCCUAGCCGUAAACGAUGGACACUAGGUGUGGGCGGAGUCGUAAUCUGUCUGUGCCGAAGCC